RNAcentral lists this transfer RNA (69 nucleotides) under pig gut metagenome. It matches the Rfam family "tRNA". Rfam says of the family: Transfer RNA (tRNA) molecules are approximately 80 nucleotides in length. The record is from RNAcentral.
GAAAUAGCUCAAUUGGUAGAGCAACUGACUUGUAAUCAGUAGGUUACGGGUUCGAUUCCUGUUUUCGGC